Molecule: ribosomal RNA, 117 nt
Filed under: Caerostris darwini
Lineage: Eukaryota; Metazoa; Arthropoda; Arachnida; Araneae; Araneidae
Source: RNAcentral
ACGGCCGUACCAUGCUGAAUAUAUACCAUGCGGUUCUCGUUAGAUCACCGAAGUUGAGCAUCAUUGGGCGCGGUCAGUACUUGGGUGGGUGACAACCUGGGAACACUGCGUGCCGUU